Molecule: ribosomal RNA, 162 nt
Filed under: Crossostylis biflora
Lineage: Eukaryota; Viridiplantae; Streptophyta; Magnoliopsida; Malpighiales; Rhizophoraceae
Description: 5.8S ribosomal RNA
Rfam family: 5.8S ribosomal RNA
About the family: 5.8S ribosomal RNA (5.8S rRNA) is a component of the large subunit of the eukaryotic ribosome. It is transcribed by RNA polymerase I as part of the 45S precursor that also contains 18S and 28S rRNA.
Source: RNAcentral
AACGACUCUCGGCAACGGAUAUCUCGGCUCUCGCAUCGAUGAAGAACGUAGCGAAAUGCGAUACUUGGUGUGAAUUGCAGAAUCCCGUGAACCAUCGAGUCUUUGAACGCAAGUUGCGCCCGAAGCCUUUUGGCCAAGGGCACGUCUGCCUGGGUGUCACAC